AGAAUCAACGCUGGCGGCGUGCCUAACACAUGCAAGUCGAACGAGAAAGGGGAGCAAUCCCUGAGUAAAGUGGCGACCGGGUGAGUAACACGUGACUAACCUACCCUCGAGUGUGGAAUAACAUCGGGAAACCGAUGCUAAUACCGCAUAACAUCGGCGCUUUUAAGAGAUGCCGAUCAAAGGAGCAAUCCGCUUGAGGAGGGGGUCGCGGCUGAUUAGCUAGGUUGGCGGGGUAACGGCCCACCAAGGCGAAGAUCGGUAGCC
RNAcentral lists this ribosomal RNA (264 nucleotides) under uncultured bacterium. Its description in RNAcentral is "partial small subunit ribosomal RNA". It matches the Rfam family "Bacterial small subunit ribosomal RNA", at positions 26 to 288 of the family's 1533-position model. The record is from RNAcentral.